AGUGCAAGUGUCAAUAGCAAACUAAGCAACUAAAGGCUCUAAAUAAAGGUUCAAUAGAUUUAAGCUUUCCUUUUGUCCGUGUUGCGUCAGUUAACAAAGUGCGGAGAAUAUCUUGUACUAUAAAUUUGUUGUGAUUAAUUUGUGUAUCCCAUUUUGCACAACUCAAAGAGAUAACAUUACUGUAAAACCAAAAGAAGUGCUUAAUAUAAGGAAUACUUGUGCUCAAGCGGAUAAUAAUACUUGCACGCGCAUGUAACAAGCGGGGUGGAAGUGGUGUCAUAUAGCGGCUCCUUAGUGCUAUUGAUGUUAGGGAUGUUUCCCUCGGUUAUGAUUGAAAUGGAGGUUAUGUUAGAAAGGAAAAUCCAACCAAAAAGGAGCUGAUGGUAUUUGCCAAAAAGGAAGGUACAACCCCCUCCCAAAAAAGUACUGUACCUUUUAAAUUGUUCGAGUUAUGCGACACGCAGCUAUAAUAACAGCAACACGUCUCAGCGGAAAAACUAGGAAGCCGCCAUUUGAAAGCAUUUUGAACAGCAAAGGGUUGGUGACAUGACAGUGACUACAAUAAUGGAAAAUUGGUUUUAAGUGUUCGAACAUAAUAGCGAAAAUAACAUCAUGGCUGGGUGGUUUAGAUGUUAUUGUCUACGCGAACAAUCAGAGGUUAUAGAGUUUAUAGCGAGUACCAGAAAGAGUAUUAAAAGUCAAGUUCAAGGCCAAUAUGUCAUAUCAAUAAUAAACAGAAUAAAUCCUAAUAAUGCCUAACAGUGAUUGUAAAAUUAUUACAUUAUUGCAUCACGUAUACAUGUUCAUUGUAAUUCACAUAUUGAGUAGCUUUAGCGUAUAUUUGAAGAGUGAAAGUUAUAAAUAAAAAAAUUCUGCAAGACCUCAUGUUCGCUGAAUUCGUUUCUUUUUGCUGCUUUGCAUUUCCCUACCACUGCCAGCCACAGCUCUUGUCUAGUUACGUAUUGUAGUUUGGGAAUGUAGCCAUUAGCAUCACAAUGUUACAAUACAGCAGACCCUUUUUCCCAUUUUUUUUU
Molecule: long non-coding RNA, 1034 nt
Organism: Hermetia illucens (black soldier fly)
Lineage: Eukaryota; Metazoa; Arthropoda; Insecta; Diptera; Stratiomyidae
Exons: 3
Source: RefSeq, a predicted model, not a curated record